UACAGAGGUCCCAAGCGUUGUUCGGAUUCACUGGGCGUAAAGGGUGCGUAGGUGGCGCGGUAAGUCGGGUGUGAAAUCUCGGAGCUUAACUCCGAAACUGCAUUCGAUACUGCCGUGCUUGAGGACUGGAGAGGAGACUGGAAUUUACGGUGUAGCGGUGAAAUGCGUAGAUAUCGUAAGGAAGACCAGUGGCGAAGGCGGGUCUCUGGACAGUUCCUGACGCUGAGGCACGAAGGUCAGGGGAGCAAACGGG
This 253-nucleotide ribosomal RNA is filed under the name uncultured bacterium. Its description in RNAcentral is "partial 16S ribosomal RNA". It matches the Rfam family "Bacterial small subunit ribosomal RNA", at positions 524 to 776 of the family's 1533-position model. The record is from RNAcentral.